This 896-nucleotide ribosomal RNA is filed under the name fungal sp. AM0347. RNAcentral's name for it is "eukaryotic LSU rRNA". The stretch from base 339 to 896 matches the Rfam family "Eukaryotic large subunit ribosomal RNA", at positions 1 to 652 of the family's 3401-position model. The record is from RNAcentral. Lineage: Eukaryota; Fungi.
CUGCGGAAGGAUCAUUAACAUAAUAUUCUUACACACUGUUUUUUUUACAACAAAAAAAAUCUAUCUAAAAACAAUUCUUUACAAGAAAUUCUUAAAACUUUCAACAACGGAUCUCUUGGUUCUCGCAUCGAUGAAGAACGCAGCGAAAUGCGAUACGUAAUACGAAUCGCAGCUCUCGGAAUCAUCGAAUCUUUGAACGCACAUUGCACCAUUGGGUAUUCCCAAUGGUAUGCUUGUUUGAGCGAAUACUUCCCUAAUCCUCACGGAUUGUAUUGUGUUUGCACGAAAAUAAUGACGACAGUACUCUACAAAACGGUACCGUCAGUACACUCAUUUUUUUUCCUCAAAUCAAGUAGGACUACCCGCUGAACUUAAGCAUAUCAAUAAGCGGAGGAAAAGAAACCAACAGGGAUUGCCUCAGUAACGGCGAGUGAAGCGGCAAAAGCUCAAAUUUGAAAUCCCCCCGGGGAGUUGUAAUUUGAAGAUUGCGUCUUGGAGGCGACCGUGUCUAUGUUCCUUGGAACAGGACGUCACAGAGGGUGAGAAUCCCGUGCGGCACGGCCCCCGGCUCCUUAUAAGGCGCUCUCGACGAGUCGAGUUGUUUGGGAAUGCAGCUCAAAGUGGGUGGUAAAUUCCAUCUAAAGCUAAAUACAGGCGAGAGACCGAUAGCGAACAAGUACAGUGAUGGAAAGAUGAAAAGCACUUUGAAAAGAGAGUGAAACAGCACGUGAAAUUGUUGAAAGGGAAGGGCAUGCCGUCAGAUUGUCAGUGUGGGUAAGAAGCGGGGUACAAAGACUGUGGAACGUGGCCCUCGGGUGUUAUAGCCGCAGUUCAUGCCCCGUCUCUUUCCGAGGCCUGCUUUGAGGACACCGACGUAAUGACGGUACGCCGCCCGU